UUUUCCCCUCUCUACAAGGUCGACAACACACACAGAGGUCAGGAUACACAUUUUGACAAAAUCAUGGUAAUUUUAUCAAGACCCACCAACUCAUAUAACACACACAUACUUUCCACAAUCGACGUAAGAGCCUGAAAGCUCGACAUAUGAAGUCUAUUCACCUUUCCUACGUAGGAUUCAAUGAGGCCUAUGAGAUCACAACCUUCAAUCAUCUAUGGCAAUGCCAAUAUGCGCCAAUGUUUAUUUCCACAGAAAAAUGUCUGGCCAUUAAUCUCUUAUUUUCAUCAAAUGCAAAGCCUAGUUCAACUAGACCCAUUUUCCUUUGAAGAACAUCCAACAAUUGAUGAACUUGUUCUUUAUGCUUGAUAACGAACAACUCCAAGAAGUGCUUGUUGGAAGGUAGUAAUACCGAAAGUAAACUGAUUUUUUUCCUUGAUCAAACCCUUUAGA
RNAcentral lists this unclassified non-coding RNA (450 nucleotides) under Hevea brasiliensis (rubber tree). The record is from RNAcentral. Lineage: Eukaryota; Viridiplantae; Streptophyta; Magnoliopsida; Malpighiales; Euphorbiaceae.